ACGGGGGGUGCAAGCGUUGUUCGGAAUUAUUGGGCGUAAAGAGCGUGUAGGCGGCUGAAUAAGUCAGAUGUGUACUCCCUGGGCUAAACCCAGGAAGUGCAUUUGAAACUAUUCAGCUUGAGUAGGGGGGAGGAAAGUGGAAUUCCUGGUGUAGAGGUGAAAUUCGUAGAUAUCAGGAGGAACACCGGUGGCGAAGGCGACUUUCUGGCCCUAUACUGACGCUGAGACGCGAGAGCGUGGGUAGCAAACAG
This 251-nucleotide ribosomal RNA is filed under the name uncultured prokaryote. RNAcentral describes it as "partial 16S rRNA". It matches the Rfam family "Bacterial small subunit ribosomal RNA", at positions 525 to 775 of the family's 1533-position model. The record is from RNAcentral.